AUUGAACGCUGGCGGCAUGCUUUACACAUGCAAGUCGAACGGCAGCGCGGGCUUCGGCCUGGCGGCGCGUGGCGAACGGGUGAGUAAUACAUCGGAACGUGCCCAGUAGUGGGGGAUAGCUCAGCGAAAGCCGGAUUAAUACCGCAUACGACCUGCGGGUGAAAGCGGGGGAUCUUCGGACCUCGCGCUAUUGGAGCGGCCGAUGGCAGAUUAGCUAGUUGGUGGGGUAAAGGCCUACCAAGGCGACGAUCUGUAGCUGGUCUGAGAGGACGACCAGCCACACUGGGACUGAGACACGGCCCAGACUCCUACGGGAGGCAGCAGUGGGGAAUUUUGGACAAUGGGCGAAAGCCUGAUCCAGCAAUGCCGCGUGUGUGAUGAAGGCCUUCGGGUUGUAAAGCACUUUUGGCGGGAACGAAAAGGACUGUGCCAAUACCACGGUUCGAUGACGGUACCCGCAGAAUAAGCACCGGCUAACUACGUG
This 484-nucleotide ribosomal RNA is filed under the name uncultured bacterium. Its description in RNAcentral is "partial 16S ribosomal RNA". It matches the Rfam family "Bacterial small subunit ribosomal RNA", at positions 29 to 507 of the family's 1533-position model. The record is from RNAcentral.